UUGAACGCUGGCGGCAGGCCUAACACAUGCAAGUCGCACGGUAACAGGAAACAGCUUGCUGUUUCGCUGACGAGUGGCGGACGGGUGAGUAAUGUCUGGGAAACUGCCUGAUGGAGGGGGAUAACUACUGGAAACGGUAGCUAAUACCGCAUAACGUCGCAAGACCAAAGAGGGGGACCUUCGGGCCUCUUGCCAUCGGAUGUGCCCAGAUGGGAUUAGCUAGUAGGUGGGGUAACGGCUCACCUAGGCGACGAUCCCUAGCUGGUCUGAGAGGAUGACCAGCCACACUGGAACUGAGACACGGUCCAGACUCCUACGGGAGGCAGCAGUGGGGAAUAUUGCACAAUGGGCGCAAGCCUGAUGCAGCCAUGCCGCGUGUAUGAAGAAGGCCUUCGGGUUGUAAAGUACUUUCAGCGGGGAGGAAGGGAGUAAAGUUAAUACCUUGACUCAUUGACGUUACCCGCAGAAGAAGCACCGGCUAACUCCGUG
RNAcentral lists this ribosomal RNA (489 nucleotides) under uncultured bacterium. Its description in RNAcentral is "partial 16S ribosomal RNA". It matches the Rfam family "Bacterial small subunit ribosomal RNA", at positions 30 to 507 of the family's 1533-position model. The record is from RNAcentral.